AGCUCCAAUAGCGUAUAUUAAAGUUGUUGCGGUUAAAAAGCUCGUAGUUGGAUUUCUGUUGAAAGCAGCCGGUCCGCACUACGUGCGUGUAUCUGGUUUGGUUUCGGCAUCCUCUCGAAACACGCUACUGUGCUUGAUUGCAUGGUGCGGGGUUCGGGACUUUUACUUUGAGGAAAUUAGAGUGUUCACGGCAGGCAAUCGCCUUGAAUAUAUUAGCAUGGAAUAAUAAUAUAGGAUCUGAUGCCUAUUUUGUUGGUUUCUAGGUGUUAGAUAAUG
RNAcentral lists this ribosomal RNA (276 nucleotides) under uncultured eukaryote. Its description in RNAcentral is "partial small subunit ribosomal RNA". It matches the Rfam family "Eukaryotic small subunit ribosomal RNA", at positions 587 to 867 of the family's 1831-position model. The record is from RNAcentral.